GAAUUUUGGACAAUGGGCGAAAGCCUGAUCCAGCAAUGCCGCGUGCAGGAUGAAGGCCUUCGGGUUGUAAACUGCUUUUGUACGGAACGUAAAGCUUUGGGUUAAUACUAUGUAGUCAUGACGGUACCGUAAGUAUAAGCACCUCACAACCACGUGCCACCCGCCGCGGUAAUACGUAGGGUGCAAGCGCUAAUUGGAAUUACUGGGCGUAAAGCGUGCUCAGGCGGUUUGGUAAGACAGAGGUGAAAUCCCCGGGGUCAACCUGGGAACUGCCUUUGUGACUGCAAGGCUAGAGUACGGCAGAGGGGGGUGGAAUUCCGCGUGUAGCAGUGAAAUGCGUAGAUAUGCGGAGGAACACCGAUGGCGAAGGCAACCCCCUGGGCCUGUACUGACGCUCAUGCACGAAAGCGUGGGGAGCAAACA
This 423-nucleotide ribosomal RNA is filed under the name uncultured bacterium. Its description in RNAcentral is "partial 16S ribosomal RNA". It matches the Rfam family "Bacterial small subunit ribosomal RNA", at positions 359 to 774 of the family's 1533-position model. The record is from RNAcentral.